AUUGAACGCUGGCGGCAGGCUUAACACAUGCAAGUCGAGCGGGGUGAUGGUGCUUGCACUAUCACUUAGCGGCGGACGGGUGAGUAAUGCUUAGGAAUCUGCCUAUUAGUGGGGGACAACAUCUCGAAAGGGAUGCUAAUACCGCAUACGUCCUACGGGAGAAAGCAGGGGAUCACUUGUGACCUUGCGCUAAUAGAUGAGCCCAAGUCGGAUUAGCUAGUUGGUGGGGUAAAGGCCUACCAAGGCGACGAUCUGUAGCGGGUCUGAGAGGAUGAUCCGCCACAACGGGGCUGAGACGCGGCCCAGACUCCUACGGGAGGCAGCAGUGGGGAAUAUUGGACAAUGGGGGGAACCCUGAUGCAGCCAUGCCGCGUGUGUGAAGAAGGCCUUAUGGUUGUAAAGCACUUUAAGCGAGGAGGAGGCUCUUUUGGUUAAUACCCAAGAUGAGUGGACGUUACUCGCAGAAUAAGCACCGGCUAACUCUGUGCCAGCAGCCGCCGCAG
This 503-nucleotide ribosomal RNA is filed under the name uncultured bacterium. RNAcentral's name for it is "partial 16S ribosomal RNA". It matches the Rfam family "Bacterial small subunit ribosomal RNA", at positions 30 to 523 of the family's 1533-position model. The record is from RNAcentral.